CCUACGGGAGGCAGCAGUCGAGAAUCUUCCGCAAUGGGCGCAAGCCUGACGACGCAACGCCGCGUGGAGGACGAAGAUCUUCGGGUCGUAAACUCCUGUCGAGCGGGAAGAACGGCGCACGGAUCAAUACCCCGUGCGCGUGACGGUACCGCGAGAGGAAGCCCCGGCUAACUCCGUGCCAGCAGCCGCGGU
RNAcentral lists this ribosomal RNA (192 nucleotides) under uncultured bacterium. RNAcentral's name for it is "partial 16S ribosomal RNA". It matches the Rfam family "Bacterial small subunit ribosomal RNA", at positions 338 to 521 of the family's 1533-position model. The record is from RNAcentral.